UAAGCGAAUGGUGAAAUCUGGUGGCUCAACCACACAGACUAUUAUUCGAACUGGCAUGCUCGAGAGUAGCAGAGGUAACUGGAAUUUCUAGUGUAGGAGUGAAAUCCGUAGAUAUUAGAAGGAACACCAAUGGCGUAGGCAGGUUACUAGGCUAUUUCUGACACUAAGGCACGAAAGCGUGGGAGCGAACGGGAUUAGAUACCCCGGUAGUCCACGCCGUAAACUAUGGAUACUA
This 235-nucleotide ribosomal RNA is filed under the name uncultured Candidatus Saccharibacteria bacterium. Its description in RNAcentral is "partial 16S ribosomal RNA". It matches the Rfam family "Bacterial small subunit ribosomal RNA", at positions 584 to 818 of the family's 1533-position model. Lineage: Bacteria; Candidatus Saccharimonadota. The record is from RNAcentral.